Molecule: ribosomal RNA, 499 nt
Filed under: uncultured Glomeromycotina
Lineage: Eukaryota; Fungi; Glomeromycota
Description: partial small subunit ribosomal RNA
Rfam family: Eukaryotic small subunit ribosomal RNA
Source: RNAcentral
CCAAUAGCGUAUAUUAAAGUUGUUGCAGUUAAAAAGCUCGUAGUUGAAUUUCGGGAUCAAUUUAUUGGUCGUGCUAUUGUACGUACUGGUAUUAUUGAUUCCUACCUUCUGACGAACCAUGAUGUCAUUAAUUUGGUGUCAUGGGGAAUCAGGACUGUUACUUUGAAGAAAUUAGAGUGUUUAAAGCAGGCUCACGCUUGAAUACAUUAGCAUGGAAUAACGAAAUAGGACGUUUGAUUCUAUUUUGUUGGUUUCUAGGAUCGACGUAAUGAUUAAUAGGGAUAGUUGGGGGCAUUAGUAUUCAAUUGUCAGAGGUGAAAUUCUUGGAUUUAUUGAAGACUAACUACUGCGAAAGCAUUUGCCAAGGAUGUUUUCAUUAAUCAAGAACGAAAGUUAGGGGAUCGAAGACGAUCAGAUACCGUCGUAGUCUUAACCAUAAACUAUGCCGACUAGGGAUCGGAUGAUGUUAAUUUUUUAAUGACUCAUUCGGCGCCUUACG